RNAcentral lists this long non-coding RNA (1404 nucleotides) under Cricetulus griseus (Chinese hamster). RNAcentral's name for it is "lncRNA (ENSCGRG00015029466.1)". Lineage: Eukaryota; Metazoa; Chordata; Mammalia; Rodentia; Cricetidae. The record is from RNAcentral.
GUGAAUCAUAAAGUAGAUAUUUAACUUUGCCUGGAAGUAGAUGUUAUAAAAAAAAAAAGAGGGGGCAUUUAACAAAUGGGACCUAAGAGUGGGGACACUUCCCUGGAAAAGUGGCAGGCAGAGGUUACAAUAUCAGGGGAGUGGUGAGUCAUUAGCCUUCAGAGGAAGUGAGUCAAGAUUCAUACAUCUGGAAUGCACAAAGCAAGGGGAAAUCAGCAGGGACUGGUCAUCCGGAAGCUGUGAUGGAGAGAAUCCAUGGUCCCAUGGAUUCAGCGGGAGGCAGUUACAGUCACUCACAGCAGAGUCUGGGGAAACGGAAAGGAUGUAGAAGCCAAGAGCAUCGCUUUGGACAGGAGAGACAAGACUGAAGAUACAGAUAGAACACAGAACUCACAGAGGCAAGCAGUCAGCUGCAUUUACCUUUCCCCUAGUUGAAACAUUAAAAUACUAUAACCUCCUUUGUAUACGCUUAUGCUGCCUGAAGUGUCCUCCUGCUGGGACCUGAAGUGGAAAUAAAGCCUUCUGUCUUCUCUGUCUCACCAUGACCUUUUGAAUCAACAGUCCACAGCUUCUGUUUUGUAUAGUCACUACCCAGUAAUCAUCUCAUGAAUAAAUAAGGAAAUGAAAGAAUGAGUGAAUGAAUGAAUGAAUGAAUGAUCAGAACAAAAGCAGUAUCCAUUGCUAACAAUGGUAACCCACACUGUUGGUUAUGGUAAUUGUUAACAUUGUUGCUAAUUAUGGAAACUAGAAAAGACAACAAAAAUAUAAUAAAUUAAAAUUUUGCUGGGGUAAAACCCAAGUGCUACUAAUUACAGUUAUUUAUGUUAUUUAUCUUACUUUAAUGCCUAAUUACCACACAGUGCAAGUAAGGAUUGUAUAUAUCAUUAAAUGUGGUGGAUCCACUCAGUUGAGUUUUAUUUCAUCAUAAUAAUGAAUUACACAUAUAUGCUCAAACUAUGUAAAUUAUGGUUGAUGUCUGCUGUUUGUUCCCAACCUUGAAAAAGCUUGGACUCCUAAAUUUGCCUUCUUUCACAUCCUAGUAAUUUUGAUUUUCUUGUCCUCCUUUGUAGCCUAGGUGACUGGAAAGGAGUGGUCAGAAAGGUUAAGUUAGUUUGGUCAAGGUCUCAAUGGCAGUAAAGGAUGACUUUUGAAUAUGCUUCUCCCUAGACUUGGUUUAUUCAUAUGCAUGUUCAUCGGGAAAGCACAUAUAGAGGCCUCUGGCAGUUCAGAGGUACAAGGCUAGACAGUAUGGGACAAGAAAGGGGGUAGUGACAAACAAUGCUGUAGAGUUCCUUCCAAAAGCAGAUUACCCACUAUAGCCUGGUGCCUUAACCCCUCUCCUCUCCUCUCCUCUCCUCUCCUCUCCUCUCCUCUCCUCUCCUCUCUCUCUCUCCUCUCCUCUCU